Molecule: ribosomal RNA, 450 nt
Filed under: uncultured microorganism
Description: bacterial SSU rRNA
Rfam family: Bacterial small subunit ribosomal RNA
Source: RNAcentral
CGGGCGGCAGCAGUGGGGAAUAUUGCACAAUGGAGGAAACUCUGAUGCAGCGACGCCGCGUGAAGGAUGAAGGCUUUCGAGUCGUAAACUUCUUUUAAGGAAAAGAAAGUCCGCCGCAAGGCGGAUUGAUCUAUCCUAGAAUAAGCAGUGGCUAAUUACGUGCCAGCAGCCGCGGUAAUACGUAAACUGCAAGCGUUAUCCGGAAUUAUUAGGCGUAAAGGGAGCGUAGGCGUUUUGUCAAGUUCCUGGUGAAAUCUUCGGGCUUAACCCGAAAAUUGCUGGGAAAACUGAUAAAAUUGAGUUAAAGAGGGGAGAGUGGAAUUCCUGGUGGAGCGGUGAAAUGUGUAGAUAUCAGGAAGAAUACCAAUGGCGAAGGCAACUCUCUGGCUUUAAACUGACGCUGAAUCUCGAAAGCGUGGGUAUCGAACGGGAUUAGAUACCCCAGUAGUC